RNAcentral lists this microRNA precursor (52 nucleotides) under Mustela putorius furo (domestic ferret). RNAcentral's name for it is "mir-1302 microRNA precursor family". It matches the Rfam family "mir-1302 microRNA precursor family". The record is from Rfam by way of RNAcentral. Lineage: Eukaryota; Metazoa; Chordata; Mammalia; Carnivora; Mustelidae. RNAcentral also lists the same sequence under 1 other name.
UUUUUAGUGUAAGUAUGUCCCGUGUGACAUUUGGUACAUACUUAUACUAAAA